GGAGAUGUACCCAAGUGGCUGAAGGGUCUGGCUUCGAACACCAGUAGGUCGGUAACUCCGACGCGAGAGUUCAAAUCUCUCCAUCUCCGCCA
Molecule: transfer RNA, 92 nt
Filed under: Ruminococcus bromii
Lineage: Bacteria; Bacillati; Bacillota; Clostridia; Eubacteriales; Oscillospiraceae
Also listed under: 10 other names
Description: tRNA-Arg
Rfam family: tRNA
About the family: Transfer RNA (tRNA) molecules are approximately 80 nucleotides in length. Their secondary structure includes four short double-helical elements and three loops (D, anti-codon, and T loops).
Source: RNAcentral